This 442-nucleotide ribosomal RNA is filed under the name Baeolidia sp. B LC-2013. RNAcentral describes it as "partial 16S ribosomal RNA". It matches the Rfam family "Archaeal large subunit ribosomal RNA", at positions 1903 to 2666 of the family's 2987-position model. Lineage: Eukaryota; Metazoa; Mollusca; Gastropoda; Nudibranchia; Aeolidiidae. The record is from RNAcentral.
AAACAUAGCCACUAGACGAUAUUAUGUGGUCCUACCUGCCCAAUGUUGACAUGAAUGGCCGCGGUACUCUGACCGUGCUAAGGUAGCGUAAUCAGUUGAUCUUUAAAUGAGGUCAGGAAUGAAUGGAUAAACUGGGUCUAGCUGUCUCUACUUUAUUAUCUUGAAUUUACUGUCUAAGUGAAAAAGCUUAGUUUUUAAAAAGGGACGAGAAGACCCUUAGAAUUUUUACAAAAGGGUUAAUUAUUAAUUCUACGUUUUUAUUGGGGCGAUAUAGAAAGAGUUAAAACUUUCUUUAAAGACAAGCCGAUAUUUAUAAGCAAGGAUAAAUUACCUGAGGGAUAACAGCAUAAUUCUAUAAGUGAGUUUGUGACCUCGAUGUUGGACUAGGAAACUAACAGGCUAGCCGUUUGUUAUGUUAGGUUCUGUUCGAACUUUUAUUCCU